This 604-nucleotide ribosomal RNA is filed under the name Stutzerimonas stutzeri. RNAcentral describes it as "bacterial SSU rRNA". It matches the Rfam family "Bacterial small subunit ribosomal RNA", at positions 94 to 694 of the family's 1533-position model. The record is from RNAcentral. Lineage: Bacteria; Pseudomonadati; Pseudomonadota; Gammaproteobacteria; Pseudomonadales; Pseudomonadaceae.
AGCGGCGGACGGGUGAGUAAUGCCUAGGAAUCUGCCUGGUAGUGGGGGACAACGUUUCGAAAGGAACGCUAAUACCGCAUACGUCCUACGGGAGAAAGUGGGGGAUCUUCGGACCUCACGCUAUCAGAUGAGCCUAGGUCGGAUUAGCUAGUUGGUGAGGUAAAGGCUCACCAAGGCGACGAUCCGUAACUGGUCUGAGAGGAUGAUCAGUCACACUGGAACUGAGACACGGUCCAGACUCCUACGGGAGGCAGCAGUGGGGAAUAUUGGACAAUGGGCGAAAGCCUGAUCCAGCCAUGCCGCGUGUGUGAAGAAGGUCUUCGGAUUGUAAAGCACUUUAAGUUGGGAGGAAGGGCAGUAAGUUAAUACCUUGCUGUUUUGACGUUACCGACAGAAUAAGCACCGGCUAACUUCGUGCCAGCAGCCGCGGUAAUACGAAGGGUGCAAGCGUUAAUCGGAAUUACUGGGCGUAAAGCGCGCGUAGGUGGUUCGUUAAGUUGGAUGUGAAAGCCCCGGGCUCAACCUGGGAACUGCAUCCAAAACUGGCGAGCUAGAGUAUGGCAGAGGGUGGUGGAAUUUCCUGUGUAGCGGUGAAAUGCGUAGA